Long non-coding RNA from Xenia sp. Carnegie-2017, 663 nucleotides. RefSeq lists it as uncharacterized. Lineage: Eukaryota; Metazoa; Cnidaria; Anthozoa; Malacalcyonacea; Xeniidae. The transcript is spliced from 3 exons. The record is from RefSeq and is a predicted model, not a curated record.
AAUUUAAGAUGAAUUCACUGCUUCUGGUAUCGUUCUUGUUGAUAUUUUAUCCUUUGUCUGUUGAUUCAGCAUCUUCUUCGAAAGAUGAACGUUCAUCAGUGGAAAAAACACUCAAAGGCAUACUUGACAAAAUUUACACACUUGGUAUGGAGGUGGGAAAGGGUGAAGAAAUUGUGAAAUUCUAUACAGAGAACUGUGUAUUGAUUAAUCAAGGUGUUCCGGCAAUAAAUGGCAAAUGCACACUUGCAGACGUUGCAAAAGUUUUAUUUUGUAUUUUCACGAUAUCGUUUAGAGUUGUUACAUCUCUACAAAACCGUUUUUAAUAGAACAACAAUUAUUAAAAAGGUUAACGUUUUUAUGGACGACGUUUAUGACAUGGGAGACAUUGUUACUCUUAGAUACCACGCGACCAACCAUAUAGCAGAUUGCAGUGCCCUUUACACUACCCGACUAAUCAUCGUUUGGAAAAAGAUCAAGGGCAAAUACUUGAUUCACAAUCAAGUUUCAAAUGAGCGAGAGAACAUGUGUCCUAAAUGAUUGUUAAACUCAGCAUUGGAGGAAACAAGACACUACAUUUAUUUGUCUUAUUACUAAAUUUCUAGAUAAAAUGAGCUUUGUAGACUUUCAAUUUGAAUUCCAUUUUGAAACAUCUUUAUUACAAAA